This 393-nucleotide ribosomal RNA is filed under the name uncultured bacterium. Its description in RNAcentral is "bacterial SSU rRNA". It matches the Rfam family "Bacterial small subunit ribosomal RNA", at positions 30 to 417 of the family's 1533-position model. The record is from RNAcentral.
AUUGAACGCUGGCGGCAGGCCUAACACAUGCAAGUCGAACGGUAACAGGAAGAAGCUUGCUUCUUUGCUGACGAGUGGCGGACGGGUGAGUAAUGUCUGGGAAACUGCCUGAUGGAGGGGGAUAACUACUGGAAACGGUAGCUAAUACCGCAUAACGUCGCAAGACCAAAAAAGGGGGACCUUCGGGCCUCUUGCCAUCGGAUGUGCCCAGAUGGGAUUAGCUAGUAGGUGGGUAACGGCUCACCUAGGCGACGAUCCCUAGCUGGUCUGAGAGGAUGACCAGCCACACUGGAACUGAGACACGGUCCAGACUCCUACGGGAGGCAGCAGUGGGGAAUAUUGCACAAUGGGCGCAAGCCUGAUGCAGCCAUGCCGCGUGUAUGAAGAAGGCCU